CAGUGAUUGAACUCAGGGGCCCUAAACCACUGAGCCACAUCCCCAGCCCUAUUUUGUAUUUUAUUUAGGGACAGGGUCUCACUGAAUUGCUUAGCACAUCACCAUUGUUGAGACUGGCUUUGAACUCAGGGUCCUCUUAUUUCAGUCUCCCUAGCAGCUGGAAAUACAGGCUUGCACCACCAUGCCUGACGUUUUUUUGUUUGUUUGGUCCUAGAGAUUGAAUCCAGUGAAACUGGAAUUUCUCUGCUUCUCCUGGCAGUUGGGGUCUGCACAAGCUGCUGGUUUUUUAAGCCAAGAAGUGUGCUUUAGUUCUUAACACUCAGGCCAUGCCCUCUAGUGUUGCAGCAAACCCUAGAAACUCACCAUCAAUUCCUCCUUUCUCUGUUCUUUAGUGAAUUCAAAAGAUGAAAUCCAAAGACCUGGAUGAGUGAGUAUAAGAGUAGGAUUUAUUAUACAUUCAAAGAGAACUCCCACAAGGUGAGAGAGGACCCAAGAGGGGUUUUAGCUGAGUAUGCUAGUCUAGGGGUUUAUAUACACAUGGGUCAAUGUUAUUGGUCCAAAUUUAUGCUAAUCAGGGUUUGAAAAAUGUAGCAAUGCUGUUGAUCCACAAAUUUGCUUACUUAGUGUUUGUAAACGUAUACACACUAUUAGCCCUAAAUCCCAUUCAAGUUUGCCUUCCAUUUUCUCCUAGCUUCUUGGGAAGUCGGUGAAUCCUGCAUGCUGAAUUGAAUGUCUGGAGCUACAGCAGUGUGGCUGGGCCAAACCAUGGCUGUAUAACAGGUUGGUGUGUCUUGGCUCAACUGCAGUACUGGUCCAACAUGCCUCAAGCCCACUGUGCCUCAGGCCUGCACUCCGGCUCGUACAGGUUUUGCUCUGCUGCUCCACUAAUUCACUCUGAUGCCACUUCUUCACAGGGUCCAUUGGACUGGUGGCAUAGGUUUGCGACCAGGGAGCCAUGUUACCAGGGGUGUUUUACCACUGAGCUACAUACAUUCCAGUCCUUUUAUUUAUUUAUUUAUUUAUUUAUUUAUUUAUUUAUUUAUUGAGAUAUAGUGUCACUAAGUUGAAGAGAAUGACUUCAAACUUGAGAUCCUCCUGCUUCGACUUCCCUAGUCACUGGGAUUAUAAGUAUGUGUUACCACAACUGGCUGGUCCUUUUCAAUUUUAUUAUCCAAAGAUAGUUUCAUUUUCAGAUCUUUGCUAAUGAAGACAUACCUUUAAAAGUUUAUUAGCCAAGCUUAGUGGUACUCACUGUAGUCACAGCUAUUCAAAAGGCUAUCAUGGGAAGAUUGCUUGAGCCCAGGAGUUUGAGGCCAACCUGGGAAACAGAACUUGUCUCAAAAAUUAAAAAGUUUAUUAUUCAUUUAUAUAUCUUUAUUUCUAAAUUGUCUGAUGAUGUUUAUAGUAGACCUUUGCUGUAUCAUGGAAAGCUCACUUGUAUCCUGUCUUGUUUUGGUAAGAAUGUGCAAUUUUCUUUUUUUAGUUAUUGUUUUUUCAAUAGGAUGAAGAAUUACUUCUCUGUAACUUGCCUGUUCCAGCCAAAUUGUGAGCAUGAAAAAAUGAACCAAUCUGGCUCUUUUAAACAUUUUGAAUUUCAGGUGUUAGAAGCAAAGUCAGAAAUCAAGUCUAUUUGUUGGGACUGUUAGCUCCUUUUAUCUUGCUUCUUAUAUCACAAAGGAACUGCCUGCCAGGUUGAUGGUAAAUACAAAGGGCCUCCACUCAAUUUGGGACAACUCUAAAGGGCCAUUCCAGCAUAAGCACCUUAUGAGAAUGGAUGAGGCUUUAUUUGUAUCCUGUGCGUCUGCUUCUCCCCCUACCCAGUCCUACUCUUCCUCCUUUCCUUAGAGAUAUAUCUCCUGGGAACACUUGCUAGCAAAGUUUCUGUUCAUCAUUGCCUUCCUCAGUCUAUUUCCAAGGUACUGUCUAUUUAUUUAUUUAUUUAUUUAUUUAUUUUGUUUUUUUUUUAUUAGAAGUUUAUUAAAGGACAGCAGAAAAGACUUCUCCCAGAGGAAGAAGGGGACCCAAGAGGUGGAAUCCUGUCUAUUUAUUUUUAGUAACAACAUUCAGGAAAGACUACACAGUUGUCUUGAUACAAGGACCCUCUGAAACUACUUCUCUUAUCCUUUCUGCAUAAGGUUCUUCUUCCUUUUAGCUUUUCCAUAUUCUCCUAGUAAUUCACUGUUUUACUUAAACAUUUGGGUUCUUUGGCUUGUAAUCAAAGAUCAGUGUUAACACAAAAUCCUUUACCAUUUUUCUGGUGUUUUCUUUUUAACCAUUUUUAAGAAUAUCUUAUGUAUUACAAACAUAAACCUUACACUGAAAUGGUUUUCUCCAGUUUGUUAGUUGCAUUGUAAGUUUGUUCAUCAU
Molecule: long non-coding RNA, 2367 nt
Filed under: Marmota monax (woodchuck)
Lineage: Eukaryota; Metazoa; Chordata; Mammalia; Rodentia; Sciuridae
Source: RNAcentral